GGCACGCUGGAGCCCUGCCCAAGAUGGCGGCAAGGUGGCGGGGCGUGCUGGGAGCGACGCCGUAAUCUGAUUCAGGUGCGUGGAUCGCGCACCGGCACACAUGAUGGACUUAUCUCCUCGCAGUGUAUAAAAGGGGAGGAGGAGGAAAGAUCAGAGAAGGAGGCGGAGUGUCCGCAGCAGUGACAGGAGAGCAAAGAGGAUGCAAGACGCGAGAGACGAGGACGACGACGGCGGCUGAAUGAGCGGAGGGAGCUGAAAAGCGACACGACCACGGACAAGCUUUAUUGAAAAAUGAAGUCAAACCUGCUCAAAAGCAUGUCCUUCCUGGGUGGUCCACGGAACCCGAGCGACGACAGCAAGAGAGUGUCCCAACAAGGAACGUGCGAGGAUGAGACACAACAAUACAAUAAAACUGCACAAAAAUAUAUGUGGAGAGGCGGAGCCUGUAGUCCGACAGCGAGGCGGGACACACCGUAGCCCAGCCCAAGAUGGCGGCGAGGCGCGCCGGGAGCAACGCCGCAAUCAAGAUCAGGUGCAAGGAUCCUGCAUCAGGCGACAAUUGAUUGAUCCUCUCAAACUAUAAAAAGUCAAACAGCCGCCAACGUCUGGGGGAGAGGCGGAGAGACGAGAAGGAGGCGGAGGGAAGCUGACGCUGAGCGAGAGAAGAAGACGACGACGUGGCAAACUGGAAAGCGAGCUGAUGGGCGAGCAGAGGAGAGGAGCUGAAAAGCGACCGGCACUGAGGUUUUACUUGCAAAAAUAAACAAAGUCACAACCAA
Molecule: long non-coding RNA, 779 nt
Organism: Nerophis ophidion (straightnose pipefish)
Lineage: Eukaryota; Metazoa; Chordata; Actinopteri; Syngnathiformes; Syngnathidae
Exons: 2
Source: RefSeq, a predicted model, not a curated record